AGAGCGGGCCGGGCCCCUCUGACGUUUCGACGCUUGCGUCGGCCGUGAUGUCGGACCGCAUCG
Non-coding RNA from Caulobacter segnis ATCC 21756, 63 nucleotides. Lineage: Bacteria; Pseudomonadati; Pseudomonadota; Alphaproteobacteria; Caulobacterales; Caulobacteraceae. The record is from Rfam.